This 571-nucleotide ribosomal RNA is filed under the name uncultured bacterium. RNAcentral describes it as "partial 16S ribosomal RNA". It matches the Rfam family "Bacterial small subunit ribosomal RNA", at positions 355 to 918 of the family's 1533-position model. The record is from RNAcentral.
UGGGGAAUUUUGGACAAUGGGCGAAAGCCUGAUCCAGCAAUGCCGCGUGUGUGAAGAAGGCCUUCGGGUUGUAAAGCACUUUUGUCCGGAAAGAAAUCCUUGGCUCUAAUACAGUCGGGGGAUGACGGUACCGGAAGAAUAAGCACCGGCUAACUACGUGCCAGCAGCCGCGGUAAUACGUAGGGUGCAAGCGUUAAUCGGAAUUACUGGGCGUAAAGCGUGCGCAGGCGGUUUGCUAAGACCGAUGUGAAAUCCCCGGGCUCAACCUGGGAACUGCAUUGGUGACUGGCAGGCUAGAGUAUGGCAGAGGGGGGUAGAAUUCCACGUGUAGCAGUGAAAUGCGUAGAGAUGUGGAGGAAUACCGAUGGCGAAGGCAGCCCCCUGGGCCAAUACUGACGCUCAUGCACGAAAGCGUGGGGAGCAAACAGGAUUAGAUACCCUGGUAGUCCACGCCCUAAACGAUGUCAACUAGUUGUUGGGGAUUCAUUUCCUUAGUAACGUAGCUAACGCGUGAAGUUGACCGCCUGGGGGAGUACGGUCGCAAGAUUAAAACUCAAAGGAAUUGACGGGG